GACGAACGCUGGCGGCGUGCUUAACACAUGCAAGUCGAACGGUAAGGCCCUUCGGGGUACACGAGUGGCGAACGGGUGAGUAACACGUGGGUGAUCUGCCCUGCACUUCGGGAUAAGCCUGGGAAACUGGGUCUAAUACCGGAUAGGACCACUGCCUGCAUGGGUGGUGGUGGAAAGCUUUUGCGGUGUGGGAGGGGCCCGCGGCCUAUCAGCUUGUUGGUGGGGUGAAGGCCUACCAAGGCGACGACGGGUAGCCGGCCUGAGAGGGUGACCGGCCACACUGGGACUGAGAUACGGCCCAGACUCCUACGGGAGGCAGCAGUGGGAAAUAUUGCACAAUGGGCGCAAGCCUGAUGCAGCGACGCCGCGUGAGGGAUGACGGCCUUCGGGUUGUAAACCUCUUUCAGCACCGACGAAGCGCAAGUGACGGUAGGUGCAGAAGAAGGACCGGCCAACUACGUGCCAGCCGCCGCGGUAA
RNAcentral lists this ribosomal RNA (478 nucleotides) under uncultured bacterium. RNAcentral describes it as "partial 16S ribosomal RNA". It matches the Rfam family "Bacterial small subunit ribosomal RNA", at positions 28 to 523 of the family's 1533-position model. The record is from RNAcentral.